AAUGGACGAAAGUUUGAUGGAGCAACGCCGCGUGAGUGAAGAAGGUUUUCGGAUCGUAAAAUUCUGUGUGGAGAAGAAUGUAUCUGAUAGUAACUGAUCAGGUAGUGACGGUAUCCAACCAGAAAGCCACGGCUAACUACGUGCCAGCAGCCGCGGUAAUACGUAGGUGGCAAGCGUUGUCCGGAUUUAUUGGGCGUAAAGCGAGCGCAGGCGGUUUCUUAAGUCUGAUGUGAAAGCCUUCGGCUCAACCGAAGAAGUGCAUCGGAAACUGGGAAACUUGAGUGCAGAAGAGGACAGUGGAACUCCAUGUGUAGCGGUGAAAUGCGUAGAUAUAUGGAAGAACACCAGUGGCGAAGGCGGCUGUCUGGUCUGUAACUGACGCUGAGGCUCGAAAGCAUGGGUAGCAAACAGGAUUAGAUACCCUGGUAGUCCAUGCCGUAAACGAUGAGUGCUAGGUGUUGGAGGGUUUCCGCCCUUCAGUGCCGCAGCUAACGCAUUAAGCACUCCGCCUGGGGAGUACGACCGCAAGGUUGAAACUCAAAGGAAUUGACGGGGGCCCGCACAAGCGGUGGAGCAUGUGGUUUAAUUCGAAGCAACGCGAAGAACCUUACCAGGUCUUGACAUCCUUUGACCACUCUAGAGAUAGAGCUUUCCCUUCGGGGACAAAGUGACAGGUGGUGCAUGGUUGUCGUCAGCUCGUGUCGUGAGAUGUUGGGUUAAGUCCCGCAACGAGCGCAACCCUUAUUACUAGUUGCCAGCAUUUAGUUGGGCACUCUAGUGAGACUGCCGGUGACAAACCGGAGGAAGGUGGGGACGACGUCAAAUCAUCAUGCCCCUUAUGACCUGGGCUACACACGUGCUACAAUGGAUGGUACAACGAGUUGCGAGACCGCGAGGUUUAGCUAAUCUCUUAAAACCAUUCUCAGUUCGGAUUGUAGGCUGCAACUCGCCUACAUGAAGCCGGAAUCGCUAGUAAUCGCGGAUCAGCAUGCCGCGGUGAAUACGUUCCCGGGCCUUGUACACACCGCCCGUCACACCAUGAGAGUUUGUAACACCCAAAGCCGGUGAGGUAACCCUUCGGGGAGCCAGCCGUCUAAG
RNAcentral lists this ribosomal RNA (1098 nucleotides) under Latilactobacillus sakei. RNAcentral describes it as "bacterial SSU rRNA". It matches the Rfam family "Bacterial small subunit ribosomal RNA", at positions 370 to 1461 of the family's 1533-position model. Lineage: Bacteria; Bacillati; Bacillota; Bacilli; Lactobacillales; Lactobacillaceae. The record is from RNAcentral.